CGUAGGGCGCAAGCGUUAUCCGGAAUUAUUGGGACGUAAAGAGCUUGUAGGCGGUUCGUCGCGUCUGGUGUGAAAGCCCAUCGCUUAACGGUGGGUUUGCGCCGGGUACGGGCGGGCUAGAGUGCAGUAGGGGAGACUGGAAUUCUCGGUGUAACGGUGGAAUGUGUAGAUAUCGGAGGAACACCAAUGGCGAAGGCAGGUCUCUGGGCUGUUACUGACGCUGAGAGCGAAAGCGUGGGGAGCGAACAGGAUU
RNAcentral lists this ribosomal RNA (253 nucleotides) under uncultured bacterium. Its description in RNAcentral is "partial 16S ribosomal RNA". It matches the Rfam family "Bacterial small subunit ribosomal RNA", at positions 526 to 779 of the family's 1533-position model. The record is from RNAcentral.